CGAGGAUGUUACUCCUUGGGUCAGAGGUUACAUAGCACGCAGAAGGAUGAAGCAGAAGAAUGGAACUCAGAACACCACAGUUGC
Molecule: small RNA, 84 nt
Filed under: Arabidopsis thaliana (thale cress)
Lineage: Eukaryota; Viridiplantae; Streptophyta; Magnoliopsida; Brassicales; Brassicaceae
Description: ATSL012090
Source: RNAcentral